AGUUUGAAUCUGGCUCAGGAUGAACGCUGGCGGCGUGCUUAACACAUGCAAGUCGAACGGUGAACACGGAGCUUGCUCUGUGGGAUCAGUGGCGAACGGGUGAGUAACACGUGAGCAACCUGCCCCUGACUCUGGGAUAAGCGCUGGAAACGGCGUCUAAUACUGGAUAUGUGACGUGACCGCAUGGUCUGCGUCUGGAAAGAAUUUCGGUUGGGGAUGGGCUCGCGGCCUAUCAGCUUGUUGGUGAGGUAAUGGCUCACCAAGGCGUCGACGGGUAGCCGGCCUGAGAGGGUGACCGGCCACACUGGGACUGAGACACGGCCCAGACUCCUACGGGAGGCAGCAGUGGGGAAUAUUGCACAAUGGGCGCAAGCCUGAUGCAGCAACGCCGCGUGAGGGACGACGGCCUUCGGGUUGUAAACCUCUUUUAGCAGGGAAGAAGCGAAAGUGACGGUACCUGCAGAAAAAGCGCCGGCUAACUACGUGCCAGCAGCCGCGGUAAUACGUAGGGCGCAAGCGUUAUCCGGAAUUAUUGGGCGUAAAGAGCUCGUAGGCGGUUUGUCGCGUCUGCUGUGAAAUCCGGAGGCUCAACCUCCGGCCUGCAGUGGGUACGGGCAGACUAGAGUGCGGUAGGGGAGAUUGGAAUUCCUGGUGUAGCGGUGGAAUGCGCAGAUAUCAGGAGGAACACCGAUGGCGAAGGCAGAUCUCUGGGCCGUAACUGACGCUGAGGAGCGAAAGGGUGGGGAGCAAACAGGCUUAGAUACCCUGGUAGUCCACCCCGUAAACGUUGGGAACUAGUUGUGGGGUCCAUUCCACGGAUUCCGUGACGCAGCUAACGCAUUAAGU
RNAcentral lists this ribosomal RNA (846 nucleotides) under Microbacterium sp. L-16. RNAcentral's name for it is "bacterial SSU rRNA". It matches the Rfam family "Bacterial small subunit ribosomal RNA", at positions 10 to 865 of the family's 1533-position model. Lineage: Bacteria; Bacillati; Actinomycetota; Actinomycetes; Micrococcales; Microbacteriaceae. The record is from RNAcentral.